UGUCUUCUGAAGCCACGUGUAGCCUGCGGCAGCGUAGCUCCAAAUUCCCCGGGCGCUCGCUGUGCUCUGUGGCCGGUUGGACCCACAUUGUGUCCACCUCGUGACUGUGCCCUAUCAAACAUUCUUGGAGAGAUGACCUCGGCAGUGACCUACCUGGGUGGGACCUCCUCCUGUGUCUCAGGGCCUUUGGUCACACUGUUUCGGCUAACUCCAUGUCCUGAGUCGGUU
Long non-coding RNA from Fukomys damarensis (Damara mole-rat), 228 nucleotides. RefSeq lists it as uncharacterized. The record is from RefSeq and is a predicted model, not a curated record. The transcript has 3 exons. Lineage: Eukaryota; Metazoa; Chordata; Mammalia; Rodentia; Bathyergidae.